UCGAGAAUCUUCCGCAAUGGACGAAAGUCUGACGGAGCGACGCCGCGUGCGGGAUGAAGGCCUUCGGGUUGUAAACCGCUGUCAGUAGGGAGGAAAUUUUGACCGAUCUACAGAGGAAGCACAGGCUAAGUUCGUGCCAGCAGCCGCGGUAAUACGAACUGUGCGAACGUUAUUCGGAAUCACUGGGCUUAAAGGGUACGUAGGCGGCUUUGUAGGUCAGAUGUGAAAGCCCACGGCUCAACCGUGGAAUUGCGUUUGAAACCACAAAGCUUGAGGGAGACAGAGGUGAGCGGAACUGAUGGUGGAGCGGUGAAAUGCGUUGAUAUUAUCAGGAACACCGGUGGCGAAAGCGGCUCACUGGGUCUCUUCUGACGCUGAGGUACGAAAGCUAGGGGAGCGAACGGGAUUAGAUACCCCCGUAGUCC
RNAcentral lists this ribosomal RNA (425 nucleotides) under uncultured prokaryote. Its description in RNAcentral is "bacterial SSU rRNA". It matches the Rfam family "Bacterial small subunit ribosomal RNA", at positions 355 to 796 of the family's 1533-position model. The record is from RNAcentral.